UAUAUAAGCAGGAGCGGACGUAACGAAAACAUAUUUGUCUCGACUGCAGACCACGGCACUUGUGUCAAUUAGUCUUGUAUCGCCACUUGCCUGCAAGCUCCGAGAACGCCACGAUGAAGACAACGGUGCUCGUACUGGCUAUCGUUCUUCUCUCAGCAGUGAUGCUGACGGAGGGGACACCCGCUGGUAAACCUCCAGGCAGAGGGGCCUCGCGGGGCAAGAAAUGUGGGAACUACUACUGCAAAGCAGACGAGACCUGCGAGCCAUCGUUUGUGGGGCCUGCAUGUACCUCUAAAUUUCAAUACAAGUGAAAGCCCAAUGGAUGAACACCAACGAGAUCAACCUGCUUGCCUGCUCAAUAAAGUCACUUUCGCUCACCAA
Dermacentor silvarum is the source of this 381-nucleotide long non-coding RNA. RefSeq lists it as uncharacterized. The transcript has 4 exons. Lineage: Eukaryota; Metazoa; Arthropoda; Arachnida; Ixodida; Ixodidae. The record is from RefSeq and is a predicted model, not a curated record.